Long non-coding RNA from Ipomoea triloba (trilobed morning glory), 333 nucleotides. RefSeq lists it as uncharacterized. The record is from RefSeq and is a predicted model, not a curated record. Lineage: Eukaryota; Viridiplantae; Streptophyta; Magnoliopsida; Solanales; Convolvulaceae. The transcript has 3 exons.
UGCUUCAACUCUUCCAUGGUGAUUUGGAAGAGGUCUCUGAACGGACAAGGAUAUGUAUACACCUGAAGCUCUUCCUUCCACUCCAUAUCCUCGAUCUCCACAUCAUCAUUUAACAAGAGAGGAAAGAGGUGUGCCUGUAAAUUCUAUAUUACCAUUUUAAAGUCAGAAGUUUACAGACCAACAAGAAUUCACAAGAGGGGAAAGAGGAGUGCCUCAUGGGAGGGAGGACUAAUUACCUCACUCGAUGGCUGCUUACCAAUUAGUUGCUGUUGCUGACGAAUUUACUUGUUGGCUGAGGAAGAGAGCACGUGCCGGACCGCAGGCGGCGAACGG